GUGACCCCCCACACUGGUACUGAGACACGGACCAGAUACCUGCGGGUAGCAGCAGCAAGGAAUAUUGCCCAAUGGACGAAAGUCUGAGGCAGCAACACCGCGUGGAGGAUGAAGGUCUUCGGAUUGUAAACUCCUUUUCUGGGGGAAGAGAAAGGACGGUACCCCAGGAAUAAGUCUCGGCUAACUACGUGCCAGCAGCCGCGGUAACACGUAGGAGGCAAGCGUUAUCCGGAUUUACUGGGCGUAAAGCGCAUGCAGGCGGUCUUUUAAGUCGGACGUGAAAGCUCCUGGCUCAACUGGGAGAGGCCGUUCGAUACUGGAAGACUUGAGGAUGGUAGAGGAGAGUGGAAUUCCCGGUGUAGUGGUGAAAUGCGUAGAUAUCGGGAGGAACACCAGUGGCGAAGGCGGCUCUCUGGGCCAUUCCUGACGCUCAGAUGCGAAAGCUAGGGGAGAGAACGGGAUUAGAAACCCCGGUAUUCCUAGCCGUAAACGAUGUCAACUAGGCGUAGGAGGUCAUUGACCCUCCUGUGCUGCAGCUAACGCAUUAAGUUGACCGCCUGGGGACUACGGCCGCAAGGCUAAAACUCAAAGGAAUUGACGGGGACCCGCACAAGCAGCGGAGCGUGUGGUUUAAUUCGAGGCUACGCGAAGAACCUUACCAGGGUUUGACAUAUGCGUGGUAGUGAUUCGAAAGAUGAACGACCCUUCGGGGAGCGCAUACAGGUGCUGCAUGGCUGUCGUCAGCUCGUGCCGUGAGGUGUUAGGUUAAGUCCUGUAACGAGCGCAACCCUCGUCGUUAGUUACAUGUGUCUAACGAGACUGCCGGUGAUAAGCCGGAGGAAGGUGGGGAUGACGUCAAGUCAGCAUGGCCUUUAUAUCCUGGGCUACACACACGCUACAAUGGCCGGUACAAUGGGUUGCCAAACCGCGAGGUGGAGCCAAUCCCCCAAAGCCGGUCUCAGUUCGGAUUGCAGGCUGCAACUCGCCUGCAUGAAGUCGGAGUUGCUAGUAA
This 1012-nucleotide ribosomal RNA is filed under the name Candidatus Thermofonsia bacterium. Its description in RNAcentral is "bacterial SSU rRNA". It matches the Rfam family "Bacterial small subunit ribosomal RNA", at positions 300 to 1341 of the family's 1533-position model. Lineage: Bacteria; Bacillati; Chloroflexota; Candidatus Thermofontia. The record is from RNAcentral.